CCUACGGGAGGCUGCAGUGGGGAAUAUUGGACAAUGGGGGCAACCCUGAUCCACCCAUGCCGCGUGUGUGAAGAAGGCCCUCGGGUUGUAAAGCACUUUCAGUGAGGAAGAACGCCUGGUGGUUAAUACCCAUCAGGAAAGACAUCACUCACAGAAGAAGCACCGGCUAACUCCGUGCCAGCAGCCGCGGUAAUACGGAGGGUGCGAGCGUUAAUCGGAAUUACUGGGCGUAAAGCGCGCGUAGGUGGCUUGAUAAGCCGGUUGUGAAAGCCCCGGGCUCAACCUGGGAACGGCAUCCGGAACUGUCAAGCUAGAGUGCAGGAGAGGAAGGUAGAAUUCCCGGUGUAGCGGUGAAAUGCGUAGAGAUCGGGAGGAAUACCAGUGGCGAAGGCGGCCUUCUGGACUGACACUGACACUGAGGUGCGAAAGCGUGGGUAGCAAACAGGAUUAGAUACCCCAGUAGUC
Molecule: ribosomal RNA, 465 nt
Filed under: Vreelandella stevensii
Lineage: Bacteria; Pseudomonadati; Pseudomonadota; Gammaproteobacteria; Oceanospirillales; Halomonadaceae
Description: partial 16S ribosomal RNA
Rfam family: Bacterial small subunit ribosomal RNA
Source: RNAcentral